AGACAGACACUGUUGUCUUCCUCUUUAAUUUUUAAGAAACAAACAGGAAACGUAACUCUUUCAAUAAAUAUGUCAUUUGGCAUGAAUCACAUGAUAAGAAUAUCAUAGAUCAUCCAAUAAAGAUUUUUAGGUGCCUAUAUCGGCGGUGUCUACCUCUUCCCAUUCCGAACAGAGCAGUCAAGCCCGCCAGAGCCGAUGGUAUUGCCGUAACAGGUGGGAGAGUAGGUCGGUGCCUUUU
Molecule: ribosomal RNA, 238 nt
Filed under: Sphingobacterium siyangense
Lineage: Bacteria; Pseudomonadati; Bacteroidota; Sphingobacteriia; Sphingobacteriales; Sphingobacteriaceae
Source: RNAcentral